AUUAAACGCUGGCGGCAUGCCUUACACAUGCGAGUCGAACGGCAGCACGGGGGCAACCCUGGUGGCGAGUGGCGGACGGGUGAGUAAUGCAUCGGAACGUGCCCUGAAGUGGGGGGAUAACGCAGCGAAAGCUACGCUAAUACCGCAUAUUCUGUGAGCAGGAAAGCAGGGGAUCGCAAGACCUUGCGCUUUGGGAGCGGCCGAUGUCGGAUUAGCUAGUUGGUGGGUAAAGGCCUACCAAGGCGACGAUCCGUAGCGGGUCUGAGAGGAUGAUCCGCACACUGGGACUGAGACACGGCCCAGACUCCUACGGAGGCAGCAGUGGGGAAUUUUGGACAAUGGCGCAAGCCUGAUCCAGCCAUGCCGCGUGAGUGAAGA
Molecule: ribosomal RNA, 378 nt
Filed under: uncultured bacterium
Lineage: Bacteria
Description: bacterial SSU rRNA
Rfam family: Bacterial small subunit ribosomal RNA
Source: RNAcentral